Molecule: long non-coding RNA, 954 nt
Organism: Stylophora pistillata
Lineage: Eukaryota; Metazoa; Cnidaria; Anthozoa; Scleractinia; Pocilloporidae
Source: RefSeq, a predicted model, not a curated record
AAUUUUGGUUGAAAAGAAUAAUUAGUGAAUUGUGAUCAGAGAUUGCGUAGCUGUUAUAAUGAAACCCAUUACCAAAGAAAAAUUGUAAAUUCUAUAGAGCUGACUUAGAAUAAAAUGAACAAGAGGCUGCAAUGACCUUCACUUGGGCUUCCUCUAUGAGGGGAUGUUACUAAUCAGAGUAACCCAGUAAUGAGUAACAGUAACAGGGAAACAAGUAAUGGCACCAAGUGAGACCAACAACACCUCAGGUUUAAUUAAGUUUUUUCAAUCACUCCUCACUUUAACCUUUCAAAUUUUAAUCUUAAAACUUCUGUUUAGAGUUUAUUCCAAGCAUAAUUGAACUAAAAGACUUUUGAGUUUAGGUGCAAACCCAACACUACUUUUUUUUAUCAUUUUGAUUGUUUAUGAGCUGAUGUGAAACACAAGCCAUGGGGACAAUUAAAGUCAGCAAAAAAGAAAGAGAGGGAGGAAACCUGCAGUCGCAAAAUAUAAAUUCUGAGGUAUAUCACUUGAGUUAAGCAAGGGAGUGUGCAAAGUAAGCAUGAGAGAAAGAGCAUGGAGUAUAAUCAUAGAGCAGGGGUGAAGCAGCAGGCAUGGACCGAGGUACUUUCCAAAAAUUGGACUUUUACUUCAAUGUUCCCAAUGAAUAAUCUUUGAUUUCAAUUUUUCAUCAAUAUUCUUUUUAUAUCUAGAUACAAGUUCUGCUACUGUUAAUACUACAGUGUAGUUACCAAUAACCAGGAGUUUCCUCAUUCAUAGUUACUGUGUCAGCAGAAUUUUUCCCAUUCAAGUAUUGUAAGAGAAAUAAUGACUUUUUGUACAUUUUGUAAUAUGUAUAGUUUUUUCUCUUUAAAUCGAUUUUAUUUUUCCAGUAAUAUAGAAUAAAUAUCUUGUUUAGUACCUUACUUUUUUUUCAUUAACAUUUACAUUUACAUGUUAUUAGGUUGGUAAAAU